This 456-nucleotide ribosomal RNA is filed under the name uncultured bacterium. RNAcentral's name for it is "bacterial SSU rRNA". It matches the Rfam family "Bacterial small subunit ribosomal RNA", at positions 926 to 1382 of the family's 1533-position model. The record is from RNAcentral.
CAAGCGUGGAGCAUGUGGUUUAAUUCGACGCAACGCGAAGAACCUUACCAGGGCUUGACAUCCCCUGACCGCGUAUGAAGUACGUUUUCACCUCGGGUGACAGGGAGACAGGUGGUGCAUGGUUGUCGUCAGCUCGUGUCGUGAGAUGUUGGGUUAAGUCCCGCAACGAGCGCAACCCCUGUGGUUAGUUGCCAGCAAGUAGCGUUGGGCACUCUAGCCAGACUGCCGGUGAUAAAUCGGAGGAAGGUGGGGACGACGUCAAAUCAUCAUGCCCUUUAUGUCCUGGGCUACACACGUACUACAAUGGCCGUUACAACGGGAAGCGAAGGAGCAAUCCGGAGCAAAUCCCUUAAAGGCGGUCCCAGUUCAGAUUGUGGGCUGAAACUCGCCCACAUGAAGGCGGAAUUGCUAGUAAUUGCAGAUCAGCAUGCUGCAGUGAAUACGUUCCCGGGCCUU